CUUCCGCAAACAUAAAACAGCAUUCUAGGAGGUGCCAUUAUCUCUGGAAGGGCGGGGAGGGGGAGAGAGAAAGAGAAACAAAAUUAAGAGGGCGGGAAAACAAAAACGCACUUCCUUCGUGAAUGGCGGUAAAACAUGGACAAAGAUAAUGCUAUGUUUAUUGGAUGUGACUGGUUUAUUUUUUAAGAGACCUAGAAAUAGCGGUGGAAUAGUGGCGAGCUGGUGUCCCCCUCAUACUUUCAGUUGGACUAGUCGCUCAGUUUUGGAACGUUGAUCCUUUACCCCGGAACGAGUCCCGAACCCGAGGCGCAAAGAGCUGUUUCGGAGGGCUUUAUUUACCCUAACGCGGUGGGCAGACUUUUAGCUGUGGAUGAGGCUCGCUUUUGGCACGUAUUUUCCAUCUCCAGGGCAUCGCCACCGAUCGUUCCUUAGAACAUAGCCCAGAUAGGGUGCCUUGAAAGCAGCUUCAUCCCAGCAGUAGUUUUGUACCACCACGCUAUUGGACAAGCCAGAACCUUACAUCUGUGUCAGUGUGCAGCCCCCUUGCUAACCUUUUAAUAAUCGCCUUUUAAAUACUUGCUGCGGCCUAGAUGCUGGUUAGCAACUAAGGACACCUUCUGAGUUUAGAUUUAUGAUUUCGAAGUACAGCUUUCGACAGGGAUCGAAUUGUAUCUCUAACAGACAAGAUACUUCGAAGAAUAAUCAGAAGAGCCACAUGGUACAAAAUUUCAGACCACAAUGGCAGACAAAACCAUUCAGAUUUCAGAAUGGGCUUCUUCCUGGAAACAUGAAAUGUGAACUGUAAGAACUUCUCCAAAGGUUGCUACUAAAUUAUGUUAAAUAGGACACUAAAUUGUAGUCAUUUUUAUAU
This 871-nucleotide long non-coding RNA is filed under the name Naja naja (Indian cobra). Its description in RNAcentral is "lncRNA (ENSNNAG00000016366.1)". The record is from RNAcentral. Lineage: Eukaryota; Metazoa; Chordata; Lepidosauria; Squamata; Elapidae.